GGGUCUUUGGGAACCAAAUUACUCCUUAAGAGGGAUGUACUCUGCUAGGCUGGGGAUCUGGUGGUAUUUUACAGUGUACUUUGUUGCACAGAAUUUUUCUUGAGGUUGUCAGGUGGCCCAGUGUCAAUCUAACCCAGUCCAUGACCAUCUUAGCACAUGAGUCUUAGAUUUAGGUGGGAAGCACUCUAAAAUCUUUCAAGUGUUUGAUCCAUGCUUACCAGUUUUACAUCUUUGGAUUCAAGAUUCUGCUUAGCAAUUGAUCUAUUUAAUCUUUAAAUGAGAAGAUUUCUUUAUAAAAGCAGCAGUUGCCCUAAUGACUUUUAAUAGUAUGACUUGUGCUACUUAGAUGAUGAUGUGCCAUUAGUUCAAACAGUUGUGAUUUCUUAUUUUCCAAGUCUCCCCACACUUUUUGCUGUGGAGUUCUCUUUACGCAUUCCCUAACUGCUGCCACCCAUUGUGGGUUCCCAAUAUAAGCUGUCUUGGAACUUUUCUGGGAAAUAAGUAUACACACACACAUUUCUUUUUCCCCUUACAUAAAGUUUGUUUGGAUCAGAACUGUGUACAAGGGGUCAGAGCUCAAAUCCCUAAGUGGCUUGCCCUUGGUUAUGAUGAGAAAAACAACAUCAAGGGUUCAGUGGGCUCUUUGCCUAUGCAUCUUGUCCCACAGGCCAUUGGAAGUCAGCUUGGGAUUCCAUCCUCCCCACCAAAGACUGUUACAGAUGAUCAAAGACGACGAUUUAGGCAAUCCAAACAAACUUUGACACUUGAAGCAGGCACUCUCCACUUGCAGGGGCCCAAAAUACUGCAAAGGGGAGCUGAAGACAGGAGAAUAAGGAAUAAGGAGCUUCUGAGCGAACUGAAAAGAAAGACUGGGUGCUUCAUCUUUGGUCCUGAUAGGAGAUUCAAGCCACACAAGCCCCUGACCUCACACGGGAACCCUCAGAUCUGGCUGCAAGAAAAACUCCAACCAAUCGCCUUGCCUGCUCUCCCAGAGACCUCAACUAUAACUAAGCAAUAAACUUUUCAUACCCUCUUGGUA
Bubalus bubalis (water buffalo) is the source of this 1039-nucleotide long non-coding RNA. RefSeq lists it as uncharacterized. The record is from RefSeq and is a predicted model, not a curated record. NCBI's taxonomy places the organism in Eukaryota, Metazoa, Chordata, Mammalia, Artiodactyla, Bovidae. The transcript is spliced from 2 exons.